Long non-coding RNA from Tarenaya hassleriana, 1570 nucleotides. RefSeq lists it as uncharacterized. Lineage: Eukaryota; Viridiplantae; Streptophyta; Magnoliopsida; Brassicales; Cleomaceae. The record is from RefSeq and is a predicted model, not a curated record. The transcript has 7 exons.
ACGAGAGUUCGUGGAGCAGAGAAGAGUUGCUUUGGAGAAAUACUUGCGUAGGCUCGCUGCACGUCCCGUGAUCAGGAAGAGAGACGAAUUGAAGGUGUUUCUUCAAGUGCAAGGCAAACUGCUGAUGAAUGAAGCUGCCGAAACAGUUGUUUGGUGAAGGUGGAGCCUUUGCAGUGGCGUCACAUGAGGUGGUUCUGCCGGCCAAGGGAGGUAAGGAUCUGUUGAGAUUGUUUAAAGUGCUGAAGCAGUCAGUAGCCAUUGUCUGGGGCGGGUCGAAACAACCCUUCGUCGAAGAAGAUGAAGAAUUCUUGGAAAAGAAAGAAAAAGAUGCAGGAUCUUGGGCAACAAAUCAUCAAUGCUUCACAGCAGGCGUGAGUCCUUGGUGAAAGCCCAGCAGGAGAUGGGGAAGACUAUGGGGGAACUAGGAUUAUCAUUCAUUAAGCUGACGAAAUUCGAGAAUGAGGAAGCUGUUUUCAGCAUUCAAAGGAUCUAUGCUGCUGAUAGAAGAAUUUGGCAACUGCAGCUGUAAAAGAAAGCAGAUUUCCCCGAGAAUUGAAUUCCCAGACUGUCAAAAUUUGAUAGAUCAAGCGCCCUGUUGGCACUACAGUAUCUGUUAUCAGAGCUCUCUUCACUGCAUGCAAGGGCCGAGAACCUAGAAGCUGCAUCAUCAAAAGUAUUUGGCAGCGACAAAUCAAGAAUUCGGAAAACAGAAGAGUUAAAAGGAACCAUCAAGGCAGUUGAGGAUGCCAAAAAAUAUCGCCAUCAGAAAGGAUCAAGGUUGGACGGUGAAAGGCGUGCAGACUUCUUGAACAUGUUAAAAGGUUUUGUGGCCAAGCAGAUAUGAUAUUAUUGGGCUGUCCAUGUUAAAAUUCAACAACGUUUUGCAAAGCACUCACUAAAGCAGUGUUUGAAGUUAUAUAUAAGGGUUAAUGGCAGGAGUUAGGUCUGGUGCGGGUAGGUAUCAAUAAUCGAAGGUUAUUUAGCUCUGAAUCCAUCAAUGCUCAAUCUCCGUUUCUGAUGUGGCACAAAUGUGCGGAGGGAAAGGGAUGACUAUCUUGUGUUAUAUUUGUUCCUACGGGUUAACAGAAGGGAUCGGGUAGAGGACUGUUUUCUCAUUGUGAAUCCUGAAACCUGAUAAGAGGAGUUGGUCGGUAUCAUUUACAAAUACCUCGUUAAUUCCCAACAAGGAUAGAGUCAUGAUGAACAUUUUGAAGAUGUAGUUAGUUGGUGAAAUCAAUUACAAUGAGCAACGUGCAAAUGAUCUCUUGCCUGAAGUUGGCCAUGGCGGCUCUCGGGAGAGUAACCAGCACCCGGACGCCGUCUUUCAUGGAAGGCACCAUCUUGGAAGGAGGCAAGAAUAUACACAUAUCAGAAGACCCAGUUGCCUCCAGUCCGUCAGCAGCAUGAACGCUCCAUUCCCUCCUUCGAACUCCGCCUUCUUCUUCAACAUUCUCUCUGUCUCCCUCAACUGCUCCAUCAGUUUGACGAUGCGUGAGAGCGGAGACUCGGCCAGCUCUGCAGCCCUCAUUCCCACGUGGGAUUUCACGAAGGCGUUGCCGUAGUAUCCCUC